Molecule: long non-coding RNA, 307 nt
Filed under: Cyanistes caeruleus (blue tit)
Lineage: Eukaryota; Metazoa; Chordata; Aves; Passeriformes; Paridae
Description: lncRNA (ENSCCEG00000019541.1)
Source: RNAcentral
CAACAACUGCUUCGAGAAAACACAGCACUACUACAUGCAACCAGACAGGAAAUAGACCAAAAAGCACGUUUUCAAAUCAAAAAACAAAUCUGAAGACUAUCAAAAAUGUAGAUGAAGAAGGAAGGCCAGAAAAUCCGUGAGCAUCCCAUUCCUUUUAUCAAGCCACCUAGGUAGAUUCUUGAAUCCACCUCCUGGAAAGGAGGCAUAAACCUGCUGCCUGAGCUGUCUUAAGAGCUUGAUCAAGCAGUGAGGUAAGUGCCUUUUACUACAUGGAAACUACAAGGUCAGAAGGGGAAAAAGUACUGAC